This is an unclassified non-coding RNA of Callithrix jacchus (white-tufted-ear marmoset), 300 nucleotides long. It matches the Rfam family "Metazoan signal recognition particle RNA". From Rfam's summary of the family: The signal recognition particle (SRP) is a universally conserved ribonucleoprotein. It is involved in the co-translational targeting of proteins to membranes. NCBI's taxonomy places the organism in Eukaryota, Metazoa, Chordata, Mammalia, Primates, Cebidae. The record is from Ensembl.
GCCGGGCACAGUAGCAUGUGCCUGUAGUCCCAGCUACUAGGGAGGCUGAGGCUGGAGGAUCUCUGGAGUCCAGGAGUUCUGGGCUGUAGUGCACUAUGCCGAUCAGGUGUCCACGCUAAGUUCAGCAUCAAUAUGGUGACCUUUCGGGAGUGGGUACCACCAGGUUGCCUAAGAAGGGGUAAACCAGCCCAGGUUGGAAGCGGAGCAGGUCAAAACUCCCAUGCUGAUCUGUAGUGGGAUAAUGCCUGUGAAUACCCACUGGUACUCCAGCCUGGGCAACAUAGUGAGACCCCGUCUCUA